UACGUAGGGUGCAAGCGUUGUCCGGAAUUAUUGGGCGUAAAGAGCUCGUAGGCGGUUUGUCGCGUCGAAUGUGAAACCCGGGGCUCAACCCCGGGCCUGCAUUCGAUACGGGCAGACUAGAGUUCGGUAGGGGAGUCUGGAAUUCCUGGUGUAGCGGUGAAAUGCGCAGAUAUCAGGAGGAACACCGGUGGCGAAGGCGGCUCACUGGCCCGGAACUGACGCUGAGGUGCGAAAGCCAGGGUAGCGAACGGG
RNAcentral lists this ribosomal RNA (252 nucleotides) under uncultured bacterium. RNAcentral's name for it is "partial 16S ribosomal RNA". It matches the Rfam family "Bacterial small subunit ribosomal RNA", at positions 524 to 776 of the family's 1533-position model. The record is from RNAcentral.